GUGAAUCAUCGAAUUUUUAAACGCAUAUUGCACUCGCUGGUAUUCCGGAGAGUAUGCCUGUUUGAGGGUAAUUAAAAAGAAUAUGUAACGAAUUUUGUUGGGACAAAGGAAAAGAGGUCUCCGCGAAUAUAGUGGGAGGUUGAAAUAAAUGGUCAAGGCGCAUUAUAGAUGAGACGCGUAAUAAUAUUAUUUCGCGAAAUCGUUAUUAUGUGACUAUCAAGUUUUGAUGCAUACAAAUUUGGUUUGUAUGCGAGCAAUACAAAAACUUUGAAAAUUACG
This 279-nucleotide unclassified non-coding RNA is filed under the name Ambisporaceae sp. RNAcentral's name for it is "partial contains 5.8S ribosomal RNA and internal transcribed spacer 2". The stretch from base 1 to 71 matches the Rfam family "5.8S ribosomal RNA", at positions 84 to 154 of the family's 154-position model. Lineage: Eukaryota; Fungi; Glomeromycota; Glomeromycetes; Archaeosporales; Ambisporaceae. The record is from RNAcentral.